GGGGCUCUUGCUGCGACAUCUGUCACCCCAUAUAUUACCGGAAUUGAUUUGGCUGAUCUGGCUAUCUAGGCUGGUGUUCCCCUCUACCUGCCUCACCAUCCCAUGUUUGUCGCUCCUGAAACUGAACUUAGUCCAAGAGGGCAACCUUUCCCAAUAGAAGAAGAGGACCAUUCUUCAGUCAGGGGUAUACCAGGAGCUGCACUCUCCUUAUAGAACCUCCAAAUAAGCCCUCAAAUUGUUGGGAUCUUUCUCUACCUUGUAACCUAGAUCUCAGGCCCUUAGGUCACUAGGGCCUUCCUCCUGGAGUUCUGUGCCUUUGA
Molecule: unclassified non-coding RNA, 320 nt
Organism: Otolemur garnettii (small-eared galago)
Lineage: Eukaryota; Metazoa; Chordata; Mammalia; Primates; Galagidae
Gene: 7SK
Rfam family: 7SK RNA
About the family: 7SK was discovered as an abundant small nuclear RNA in the mid-70s but a possible function has only recently been suggested. Two independent studies have found that 7SK RNA binds the CDK9/cyclin T complex (known as elongation factor P-TEFb). P-TEFb activates transcription by phosphorylating the C-terminal domain of RNA polymerase II.
Source: Ensembl